Molecule: ribosomal RNA, 492 nt
Filed under: uncultured bacterium
Lineage: Bacteria
Description: partial 16S ribosomal RNA
Rfam family: Bacterial small subunit ribosomal RNA
Source: RNAcentral
AUUGAACGCUGGCGGUAGGCCUAACACAUGCAAGUCGAACGGCAGCACAGUAAGAGCUUGCUCUUACGGGUGGCGAGUGGCGGACGGGUGAGGAAUACAUCGGAGUCUACUUUUUCGUGGGGGAGAACGUAGGGAAACUUACGCUAAUACCGCAUACGACCUACGGGUGAAAGCAGGGGAUCUUCGGACCUUGCGCGAUUGAAUGAGCCGAUGUCGGAUUAGCUAGUUGGCGGGGUAAAGGCCCACCAAGGCGACGAUCCGUAGCUGGUCUGAGAGGAUGAUCAGCCACACUGGAACUGAGACACGGUCCAGACUCCUACGGGAGGCAGCAGUGGGGAAUAUUGGACAAUGGGCGCAAGCCUGAUCCAGCCAUACCGCGUGGGUGAAGAAGGCCUUCGGGUUGUAAAGCACUUUUGUUGGGAAAGAAAAGCAGCAGGUUAAUACCCCGCUGUUCUGACGGUACCAAAAGAAUAAGCACCGGCUAACUUCGUG